This 80-nucleotide transfer RNA is filed under the name Actinomycetota bacterium. RNAcentral's name for it is "Actinobacteria bacterium tRNA-Gly". The stretch from base 7 to 65 matches the Rfam family "tRNA", at positions 7 to 64 of the family's 71-position model. From Rfam's summary of the family: Transfer RNA (tRNA) molecules are approximately 80 nucleotides in length. The record is from RNAcentral. Lineage: Bacteria; Bacillati; Actinomycetota.
GCGGAGUUAGUUCAGCGGUAGAACGCUAUCCUUCCAAGUUAGAUGUCGUCGGUUCGAUUCCGAAAAUGAUUAAAUCCGCA